This 145-nucleotide non-coding RNA is filed under the name human gut metagenome. The record is from RNAcentral.
UAGUGAUAAGUCCGAUGAAAGAAGGAAGAGACAAAAUCAAGACCUUGCGAACAGAAACUUGAUAAUUAAGGCUUUCUCAAAAGGGAUAGCUGACAAAAGUCAACGCAACCCACGAGACAUUUGAGAAGUAAAUCAAGAAGGCGCU